This 150-nucleotide small nuclear RNA is filed under the name Erinaceus europaeus (western European hedgehog). RNAcentral's name for it is "U1 spliceosomal RNA (ENSEEUG00000023614.1)". It matches the Rfam family "U1 spliceosomal RNA". Rfam says of the family: U1 is a small nuclear RNA (snRNA) component of the spliceosome (involved in pre-mRNA splicing). Its 5' end forms complementary base pairs with the 5' splice junction, thus defining the 5' donor site of an intron. Lineage: Eukaryota; Metazoa; Chordata; Mammalia; Eulipotyphla; Erinaceidae. The record is from RNAcentral.
AUACUUACCUGUCUGGAAAUAUGCUAUGGUUUUUCCAGAGUGAAGCUAACUCACUGCACUCUACAUGUGCUGGUCCUGCAAUCACCCCAAAUGUGAAAGGCUCAGCUGCAUAAUCUGUGGCAGGGAGGAGAUUGUACACAUGCUCUCCCC